UCGGUGUGUACAAGACCCGGGAACGUAUUCACCGCGGCAUGCUGAUCCGCGAUUACUAGCGAUUCCGACUUCGUGUAGGCGAGUUGCAGCCUACAGUCCGAACUGAGAACGGCUUUAAGAGAUUAGCUUACUCUCGCGAGUUCGCAACUCGUUGUACCGUCCAUUGUAGCACGUGUGUAGCCCAGGUCAUAAGGGGCAUGAUGAUCUGACGUCGUCCCCACCUUCCUCCGGUUUGUCACCGGCAGUCUCACUAGAGUGCCCAACUGAAUGCUGGCAACUAGUAACAAGGGUUGCGCUCGUUGCGGGACUUAACCCAACAUCUCACGACACGAGCUGACGACGACCAUGCACCACCUGUCAUUGCGUCCCCGAAGGGAACGCCUAAUCUCUUAGGUUAGCGCAAGAUGUCAAGACCUGGUAAGGUUCUUCGCGUUA
This 435-nucleotide unclassified non-coding RNA is filed under the name uncultured bacterium. Its description in RNAcentral is "contains 16S-23S intergenic spacer region". The record is from RNAcentral.